This 465-nucleotide ribosomal RNA is filed under the name Vreelandella stevensii. RNAcentral's name for it is "partial 16S ribosomal RNA". It matches the Rfam family "Bacterial small subunit ribosomal RNA", at positions 338 to 795 of the family's 1533-position model. Lineage: Bacteria; Pseudomonadati; Pseudomonadota; Gammaproteobacteria; Oceanospirillales; Halomonadaceae. The record is from RNAcentral.
CCUACGGGAGGCUGCAGUGGGGAAUAUUGGACAAUGGGGGCAACCCUGAUCCAGCCAUGCCGCGUGUGUGAAGAAGGCCCUCGGGUUGUAAAGCACUUUCAGUGAGGAAGAACGCCUAGUGGUUAAUACCCAUCAGGAAAGACAUCACUCACAGAAGAAGCACCGGCUAACUCCGUGCCAGCAGCCGCGGUAAUACGGAGGGUGCGAGCGUUAAUCGGAAUUACUGGGCGUAAAGCGCGCGUAGGUGGCUUGAUAAGCCGGUUGUGAAAGCCCCGGGCUCAACCUGGGAACGGCAUCCGGAACUGUCAAGCUAGAGUGCAGGAGAGGAAGGUAGAAUUCCCGGUGUAGCGGUGAAAUGCGUAGAGAUCGGGAGGAAUACCAGUGGCGAAGGCGGCCUUCUGGACUGACACUGACACUGAGGUGCGAAAGCGUGGGUAGCAAACAGGAUUAGAUACCCUAGUAGUC